UGAACGCUGGCGGCGGCCUAACACAUGCAAGUCGAGCGGUAACAGGCGUAGCAAUACGUGCUGACGAGCGGCGAACGGGUGAGUAAUGCUUCGGAAUCUGCCCAAUGGUGGGGAAUAACCAGCCGAAAGGUUGGCUAAUACCGCAUGAACCCUUCGGGGGAAAGCAGGGGAUCGUAAGACCUUGCGCCGAUGGAUGAGCCGAAGUCGGAUUAGCUAGUUGGUAGGGUAACGGCCUACCAAGGCGACGAUCCGUAGCUGGUCUGAGAGGACGACCAGCCACACUGGGACUGAGACACGGCCCAGACUCCUACGGGAGGCAGCAGUGGGGAAUAUUGGACAAUGGGGGAAACCCUGAUCCAGCGACGCCGCGUGUGUGAAGAAGGCCUGCGGGUUGUAAAGCACUUUUAGUGGGGAUGAAAAGCUCAGGGCUAAUACCUCUGGGUCUUGACCUAACCCACAGAAAAAGCACCGGCUAACUCUGUGCCAGCAGCCGCGGUAAUACAGAGGGUGCAAGCGUUAAUCGGAAUUACUGGGCGUAAAGCGAACGUAAACGGUUGGAUAAGUCGGAUGUGAAAGCCCCGGGCUCA
Molecule: ribosomal RNA, 587 nt
Filed under: uncultured bacterium
Lineage: Bacteria
Description: bacterial SSU rRNA
Rfam family: Bacterial small subunit ribosomal RNA
Source: RNAcentral